RNAcentral lists this unclassified non-coding RNA (1019 nucleotides) under Hevea brasiliensis (rubber tree). The record is from RNAcentral. Lineage: Eukaryota; Viridiplantae; Streptophyta; Magnoliopsida; Malpighiales; Euphorbiaceae.
UUCUAUGCUUCUCUGUUUUUUUUUAAAAAAGAAAAAACUAAAAGAAAUUUUUGAGAAAGAUAAAACACAGGUUGUAUUUGUAGGGCGUUGAUACCAAAUUGAUUUAGAACAAGAAGAAACCAAAGGUUCAAUAGAAAUACAUACUCAAGACAAAGGAAGAGAAUCAUUCUUUAGAGAAACUAAUUCUCAAAGCUUUUUAUUAGUUUUCAAUAAUAAUCAUAAUAAUUCUUCCUAAUAAAUUAACUAAACAUAGAUGUUUAUAGUAAAAUAACUAAUUGUAUGAAUACUAGGAUUUGAAAUCCCUAAACCAAAAAACCUCAUCAAAAUACUAAUUAGUUAUCCCAAAUCAAUACAAAAUUCCUAAAUAAAAAGUACUAAGACUAAUAGAACUUUAUAAAUAUUCCUAAAUAGAAUUCCUAAACAAUAGAAAUCUGAACUUCCUAAUUUUAUAAUGAAUAAUUAAAUUAAAUUAAUUCAUAACAUUUGAUUCUGUUAAUAGGUUAGUCUUUUCAUUCAAAAAUGCACUACUUUACCGUUAAAUUUGCUAAAAAAAUAAAACACUCGCAUACUUUGAUUCUAAUGUGGCAUGAAAUUCAAAUCAAAUGCACGUAUUUUAUAGUUUUUAAAUUUGAAAAUGAAAUGAAAUUUUCUUCGCACCUUUUUAAUGGUGGUUCCAUAUAAUUGAAGCACUCGUCUUCUUUGAUUUUCACAUUCAAAUUCAUCAAGCACAUCCUCAGCAUCAUAAAGAGCAUCUUCAAGCUUAGCCAGCCACACUCGUAGUUGAUGGUCACUCGCCUGCUUCUCCUCAGCAUCCAAUAGCACAGCUUUCACAGUUAACAAGAUAUCCUCGAGCUUUUUUAGUUCUCCUUGCAAACCCCAUGCAAAACAUAUCUCUUGGUAGGCGUAAGAUGUUACCUUUUCUAAGACUUUCUCAGCAACAUUAAAAGCAAAUGACUCUAACGCCAUUUUGUGGAGUUGAGAUUUUUUUUUUUCUUUUUUGAUUUUGAUUUCUAUUUGAG